Molecule: ribosomal RNA, 433 nt
Filed under: uncultured bacterium
Lineage: Bacteria
Description: partial 16S ribosomal RNA
Rfam family: Bacterial small subunit ribosomal RNA
Source: RNAcentral
AACGAACGCUGGCGGCAUGCCUAAUACAUGCAAGUCGAACGAGAUCUUCGGAUCUAGUGGCGCACGGGUGCGUAACGCGUGGGAAUCUGCCCUUGGGUUCGGAAUAACUUCUGGAAACGGAAGCUAAUACCGGAUGAUGACGUAAGUCCAAAGAUUUAUCGCCCAAGGAUGAGCCCGCGUAGGAUUAGCUAGUUGGUGGGGUAAAGGCCCACCAAGGCGACGAUCCUUAGCUGGUCUGAGAGGAUGAUCAGCCACACUGGGACUGAGACACGACCCAGACUCCUACGGGAGGCAGCAGUAGGGAAUAUUGGACGAUGGGCGAAAGCCUGAUCCAGCAAUGCCGCGUGAGUGAUGAAGGCCUUAGGGUUGUAAAGCUCUUUUACCCGGGAUGAUAAUGACAGUACCGGGAGAAUAAGCUCCGGCUAACUCCGUG